RNAcentral lists this long non-coding RNA (7112 nucleotides) under Sus scrofa (pig). RNAcentral's name for it is "lncRNA (ENSSSCG00035038082.1)". Lineage: Eukaryota; Metazoa; Chordata; Mammalia; Artiodactyla; Suidae. The record is from RNAcentral.
CAUAAGAUCGGGAAUGAGAUGGGAAAGGCGGAGUGCGUGAAUCAGGAGCUCCCUGAACCUGAGGGAACAGUGGAAAAUAGGCUGCUAUCCAGAAUAGGCAAAGAUUUAGAGACUGCUCCCUAAUCUCGGUUCAAGUGCCUUACACGUGCCAGCAAAGACAUUUAAAGGGCAUUAUUCCCACCCCUGCACUGGGGUUGGAGGAAAGGCUAGGACUUUUGGGAAGUCCAGUCUCACCUUCCCAGAACUGCGGAUGUUGGGGACAGCAGCGGGACUGUCCCCCCCUUUAGGAGGCUUGAUCUAGCUCUGGGAUGCUUCUCCCACAGACUUCAGGUCAUCUGGGCCGGGAAGGUAGCACCUUCAGAAGAAAACAGGGUUUUAAUAGUUUUUGUAACUGUGAGAAAAGAAGCCUAUUUCCCUCUACCUGCACCUUUUCCUCUCUAGCACGAGGAAGAAAAAAACUGCAUUUGUUAGAAUUUCCUUCUGGCAGAGAAAUGUGAUCUUCAGAGAAAAAUCUUUAAUGAGUCCCUUUGGAGAAGGCGAGCUCUCAAAAGACCUGCCAGUAGGGUCUUGUGCCUCCUGACCUAAAGGGCUGCUGUGAGCCUGAGACCUUAAGGCUUGUAAAGCACUACAAUGCUUCCCUGGCCUGGGGGGAGUAUCGUAUCAUGAUGUUUUAUUAUUAUCUUUUCUGGGAUCUUGUUCUGGAUGAAUCUCACAACAAACACUUUUUUUUCUGCCACAGCUGCCUUCGCGCCUUGUUAAAACCGAGGACCACAUUUGCUGAUGUCCAGACUUUUCAGACCUUUUCUCUCUUUCUUUCCCUAGAAGACCCACCCGGCUUCUUGCAGGUAUUCCAUGCUCUUUUCGAGCAGGAAAAUAUGACGCCGGGGGGUGGGGGGAGGACGUGCAUAGCCAUUUACAAUCUCCUCGUCUGUUUUGGACUUUGCUCAGGUAAAACCAUCACUUUCAAGAACAGAGGAAUGCCAGCGGGAUGGGCGUGUGGCCGUUAUGAUGUCACCCAUCUUCAGAGACAAGACCUUGCCGAGCCGUCGCCCCCUGCUGGCCAUUAUGACAACCCGCGAUGACACCCCAGACCAGUCACGGGUGAAAGCCUGAAACCCACCAAGGAAAGGAGAUGUGUGAAAAUCAAUAUAGGAUGUGUGAAGGUACAAGUUAUGUGGAUACCAAAUAUAUGAGCACCACAACUUCUGUGAACAUGAAGGAAACUCCCCGAGACCUUACCCUGGGAUAUUGCAAAUUCAGCUUGGCCUGGAUCUGCCCAGCUUUCAUCUCACUAACGUUGUCACAAGUGCUUUCCCGUCUAGAUUCUCACAGCACACUGGACAGAGCUCUUUGACGGCUAUCUACACACAAAAGGACUUCACUAGCAGGCCUGAUUCCUGUCCUACAAAUGGCUUGGUCAGCAUUCUGAGAACUUAUGUUUAGGGAAGAUUCAUGUUAUCCUAACUGUCCUGGAUACAGAGUCUCUAAUGAGCUUUCUUGGUAGAGAACAUUUCACACGUACUAUCACAGAUUGUCACUGUGUGACUCCAUUGGGACAGGACUCCUGAAAACCUAGUUUCCUCCAGAUUCUGCUUCAUGGGCUUUUUUCUUUCUUUUCUUUUUUAUUUUUAUUUUUAUUUUUUUUUGUCUUUUGUCUCAUAACGGCUACACCCGCAGCAUAGGGAGGUUUCCAGGCUAGGGGUCUUACUGGAGCUGGAGCUGCCGGCCUACACCACAGCUACAGCAACUUGGGAUCUGAGCCAUGUCUGAGACCUACACCACAGCUCACCGCAACGCAGGAUCCUUAACCCACUGAGCAAGGCCAGGGAUCGAACCUGAAAGCUCCUGGUUCCUAGUUGGGUUCGUUUCUGCUGCGCCACGAUGGGAACUCCUUCCUGGGCCCUUUUCCUUCACUGAUUUGGCUUUGUAUCUUUUAGCUGUGAUAAUGAUAACCAGAAGUAUCUCCAUGUGCUGAUCCUGUGACAUCUCCUAGGCAACCGUCAACCCUAAGGAUGGCCUCAGGGACCCCAAACCAGUAACCUUGAGAAGCUGCCUUUUCUCUGAAUCAUUUCAGAGAUGAGUUCAUUUCACAGACAGUUCUGGUAGGACCGGUUCUAUAUUAUAUACCAAUUUUCAGGCCUGCAUAGAUUAAAUGAGUGGGGUAGUUAAGCGACCCAGGAUGGAAAAAUACUGUUGCCUUUUUAUCCAAGGGUUGUCAUGAACAUAGAUGUUACAGAAAAGUGGUUUUCAAACUAAUUUUUUUUUUUUUUUGUCUCUUUAGGGCCACACAUCUGCGGAAUUUCCCAGGCUCAGGGUCCAGUUGGAGCUGUAGCUGCCGGCCUACACCACAGCCACUGCAACGCAAGAUCUGAGCCACAUCUGCAACCCACACCACAGCUCAUGGCAAUACUGGAUCCUUAACCUAAUGAGCAAGGCCAGGGAUUGAACCCGCAUCCUCAUGGAUACUAGUCGGGUUCGUUACUGCUGACCCACAACAGGGACUCCGAACUAAUUUUUUUUUUCUCAUGGCCACGCCCGGGGUGUAUGAAGUCCCUGAGCCAGGGACUAAAUCCGAGCUGCAGCUGUGACUUAUGCCACAGCUGCAGCAAUGCUGGAUCCUUAACCCACUGCACUGGGCCAGGAAUCGAACCUGCGCCUCAGCAGCAACCUGGGACACUGCAGUCGGAUUCUUAACCCACUGUGCCACAGCAGGACUCCGGGAACCAAUCCCUUUUAACCAUCUAUUAUGAACACACUACUUAUUAUUUCAAUGAAUUUUUAGAAAACCGCUAGAGAACUUUCUCUCCAUUUUACAGACCAGGAAGCCAAGUCUUACCUUAUUGCAGAGUUGGGAUUGGCAUCUGCCCAGGACUUUUUCUGCUGUGGCACAUUUGCCUCCAUAGGUGUCAAUCUGUUAGGUUGUCUACUAUUUGAACCAAUAGCCCAGCUCACUAACCUCCUGUGCUGCGCUCUUUUCUCCUGGGGCUGCUGAAGUCCUUUUAUCUGAAUGAAGAGUGAGUGCAAAGCCCUACUUUGAAAAUACAGGCAGAUUAGCAGGGAGCCAUGUGGUCGUUCUGCUCAGAGAGGCACUGUUGAAAUCUGCAUGAGCAUGUAGCCAAAAAUACCCUCAGUGGUCCAGCAGUCCUUGCUAAACUGAGCACACAGGAAAUGCUCUUUAAUUAACACUGGCCGCAACUAUCUGAAAGAUACUGUGCUGUUUGUGACUGUUCCCUGGCUGGCCUGAUGUUCCUGAUAGCUGCCUGUCAGCCCGAGUUCCCUAAUUGUCUCCAGCUUUCUGUGUUUAUUCAAGUUGUGCUUCAGUGAAUCCGGAAAGCAUUUCCUCUUCCUUCCCAGCUUGUGACGCUCCCACUUCAGCUUGUCAUACAACAGCUGUCACGUUGUGCGUGUGAGCAGUCCGGCAGAAUGACAUCCCUCUGUAUCCUGACUUGGCCCCGGGACUGUGGGAGGACAUCCCUCCCCACGGAGGCCGGGGAUUGAAGAACCAAGGACGUUCGCGCCUGACUGUAAACGCGCAAAAUGCAUCGGCGAGGUGUGGUCCCAGCAGAUGAUACAGAUGUGAACUGCGGAGAUUCCUGCAUCCUUGGUUUUACCCAUCCCCUCCCCUGAGGCUUAAAGACAGCAGGGAGCUGGGGCAUGCUUCUCAACACUGGCUACAAAGUGUGGUGAGAAUAAGGGGAGUCAGCUCCAGGUAAAAGGGGGGGCACUAGGAGAUCAGCCCGCAUAGCGUGAGGAAUGGGGUUAUAGGCAAUAGAAGAAAGUUCACCCUCAGUGGCAAAAGGGGUGAAAUAAUGCAACAUGGAUGGACCUAGAGCUUAUAUUCCAAAGAAUAUACCUACAUCAGACGAAGACAAGUAUCACAUGAUCUCACUAAUAUGUGGAAUCUAAAAAAAUGAUACAAAUGAAGUUAUAUAUGAAACAGAGACUCACGGACUGAGAAAACAAAAGUAUGGUUACCAAAGGGGAAAGGGUGGGGGCAGGAUAAUUAGGAGAUUGGGGUGAGCAGACACACACUAUAAACAAAUUAGAUAACUAACAAAGCCCGAUUCUACAGCACAGAACUGCAUUCACUAUCUGGUGGUAGCAUCCCCACCUCUUUCCAAUAAUGGAAAAGAAUCGGCAGUUACGUAUAUCACAACCGAAUCACUUUGCUGUACACCUGAAAUGUAAAUCCACUAUAGUUCAAUUACAAAAUCACAGGAAAAAACACAUUCACUAAAUUUAAAAAAGACUUGAAGCAACAAAGUGGAUUCAGUUUGGGUUCAGACUGUGCUCAGGGAGGUCUGGAAAUAUUGCUAAAAGGAUUACAAAUUUAGUUACUACGUUACAGUUUAAACCUUACCCUUUAAGAAGUAUGCAUCAUCAAUUCCUAUUUACAAACGAGGGUGUAAGAAAUGUGUCCAUUUUAACGUCAUUAGCGCAUGGUAGGGCCAGGAUGCCAUGAAUCCGGCUUGAAGUGAAAGCCAGUUCCCGUCAACCACGCCGCCCUGGGAUCAAAACCAAGGCAGGAGAAUCAAGCAGGAAUGCCAAAUCUGAACUCCUCAUCUUCUUCCAGAAAGGAGCCCUCCUUUGUUCCUUCCCUGUCUUGGUUAACGGCGUCAUGAUUCAGGAGGUCGCCAAGUCUGAAACCCCAGACCUAUCUUGAGGUUUCAGGAAACCCCGGCUUCUCCCUCAGUCUUCAAAACUCAGCUCUCAGGUCUCCUCCCAUGCGGGUCUCCCGGCACCUCUUCCAGGGCCAGCUCUGCUCAAGGCCUGCCCCUCCCUUCGCCUCGCCCACGGCAGCUGGGCAUCUCCAGGGUGAGGGACUGCAUUCCCCAGAUCUUUAGAUGCCCAGUGCACCCUCAGUGCCUGUCGCAUAGUUGGUCCUUUUAAUGAAUAAUACAGAGGAUAAGUGACAGUCAGAAUAUCAAGGAAAAUAUGUUUCUUUUUAUCUGUAACUUCUUUCCCUUUAGUACUGACUGGUAAGAGAAUUUUUCACCCAGGAAAAGUUUAAUACCAUAGCAGGCAUUGUCUUGGAUGGAAGUUUUAUAAGAUGUGCAAGCGGGAGAGUUCCCUGGUGGCCUAGUAGUUAAGGAUGUGGCCUUGUCACUGCUGUGGCUCGGGUUUGAUCCCUGGCUAGGGGAUUUCCACAUGCUGUGGGCAUGCCUAAAAAACCCCAAAACAAACAUAGGAGAUGUGUUCAUUUGACUAAUGGACAAUAUGUUUAUGGUUUUAAUAAUCCCUAAUUAAGCUCUUCGAACACCAGAUGUUAGAGAACAUGGCUUCUCCAAAUUACUUCAUCAAACAUUCAGUGUAGAAGCUACUUUAGGCUUUUCAACAGGAUAAGAUUCAUACCGAAAGUCCUUUUGAUGUGGCAUUCAUCUGUCUUUCUAUUUAUCCCUCUCUCUUUCCAUCUACCUAAUAUAGACGUUGCAUAAAUGUCAUCCUGUCUCCUUUCCCUUUAAUUGCAUGUGGUUUAGCAGAAGUCAACCGGCAAGUCUGGGGCUAUGUGGCCUGAUGCGCUCCGCCUGUCUGAUCACCGUGCCACACUCGAGUCCCAUGUAACUGUUGUCAUUUGUUUCGCAAGCCUGGGAGAUACACAUGGUCAUAUCUCUAGCAUUUUUCCAAACAGACAUUUGAGAAGACCGUUUUUCUUAUUCUUAGGAAGUCCAGGAUCGCUCUUUUAAUGCUUCCUCUGCCCUUCUCAAUUGUCCAACAACCUUGAGGGUUUAAUUAACUUGGGGAGGAAGGCUGCGAUUUACCCUGCUUCCAAAUGCCAGCUGCAGAGAAAACUGGACAAGUGCUUCAGUCCGUAGCUGCCAUUGCUUUUGAUCACUGCAGCCAGCGACAGAUGGCUGGGGACUGGCUCUCUGUUGGUCCAAGGACUCACUGAAGCGCUCAGCUUAGAAUUCUAGGCGAAGGUUCCUUUCAGCCCACACCCGGAGCACAGCUGCUGGGCUGAGCUACAGCGCGCUUUCCGGCUUCCGUGAUCCCCAGGUUGGAACAGAUCCUCCCACACUCCUACGACCUUGCGUCAAAUGCGGGUCAUCAGGACUGACUUCUCUUGAACCAUGUGGAGCCUCUAAGGAUCUUUGCUGCCAGUGAGCCUGGGCAGAGCCUACCUGGCCCCUGGUUUCUCUAACUUACACUCGUCGGUAACCAGGAGUUCAGCCUUCCUCCCUCCUGCUCCCAAGUCCUUGGGCUCGAUAUGCACAUAAAUCCUACCUUGUCCUCAGAAAUUGAUCCUGCUUUUCAGGAUAUUUUGAGAAGGCGCUCGCCUUGUUCCCGUCUUCUUCCAGAGAAAUACUGGGUUUUUCACUGAGGUCAACUGCGGUGCUAGAAGGAAAAAAACUUAUUUUACAGGUUAUAAAAGUUGUUUUAGUUAUGUAUAGAAAUAGAUCUUUAAAAAUCAUUCUCUCUCUCUUAUUAUCUGUCAAUUCUUACCAAUCACCUGAGAUGCCUCCUUAGUGCAGGAGGUAGUGUGUCAGUCUCACAUCACCAAUUACGGGUCUGUAUCAUCUACUCUUACAAGGACUUCCUUCUCCAUGACUCAAGGGGGAAAAAUCACUAGAUGCGUCUGUUAGCACUGCUGCUCUUUGGCACAGAUUUUAUCCCUAGCAUCACUGGCCACGGAAGUCAUGGUACCAAGGCCUGAGGAUAGAUUGAACCAUGCACUUCGAAUUUCUAGAGAAGCCUAUGGAACUGACUAAACGACAGGUCUACUGUUGAUGCGUUGAGCAUCCAUGAGAAGAACGUGUUUGAUAAGCAAGAGCUGUACUUUUCUUCAGCUGGUUACAAUGUGUCCCAGCGCUGUGAUGACUGUAACAUUUGACUGUAUUCUUCUUGGCCUGAAAAUUCAGAACUAAGUGGACAGGACUCUGUGGUACACAUUUAUUUGUUCUAAUGCUCCCUUUAAUUUAUCAAAAAUUGUUUACCUAUGUGGAGUUCCGGUCAUGGCUCAGCGGUAACGAACCUAACUAGUAUCCGUGUUCCAUCCCUGGCCACGCUCAGUGGGUUAAAGGAUCCGGCGUUGCCAUGAGCUCUGGCGCAGGCUGGCAGCUGUAGCUCCGAUGAGACCCCUAGCCUGAGAACAUCCAUAUGCCAUGGGUGCGGCC